Molecule: long non-coding RNA, 456 nt
Organism: Triplophysa rosa
Lineage: Eukaryota; Metazoa; Chordata; Actinopteri; Cypriniformes; Nemacheilidae
Exons: 4
Source: RefSeq, a predicted model, not a curated record
CUGACAUUACCUGACAUGUCAGCAAGAACUGACUCUGAAUGGACCCAUGGAGUUAAGGAAAUUCUGAGAUCCUCAAAUUCUGUGUCGAAGUGAAUUUAAGCGCAUUUCAGACAUUUCUAAUGACCCAGAGGAGAAGUGUCUAUGAAACCAGACUAUAAAACAACAAACUAAUGAAAAGAAGUCAAGCACACACACUUAAAGCUCGCACAUCAUGUGACACUUCCGCAGUUGACCUCCAGCCCUGGUUUUCCCCGUCACCCUUGUGGAUUGCAAGAUGUAUUUACACCCUCAGAACUGGAAGCGGUCAAUCAACACGUUGUUUGGAAGCCUCUAAUAUCUCUCCAGACCCUGAGAUCUGUUGAGCUUUCACUUGGAGAUGAUGAACUAGACGACACGAUUAAAUCACUGUCAACUACAGCUUCAGUCCAGCCAGCAGUCAACAGGCACAAGAGGGCC